This 497-nucleotide ribosomal RNA is filed under the name uncultured bacterium. Its description in RNAcentral is "bacterial SSU rRNA". It matches the Rfam family "Bacterial small subunit ribosomal RNA", at positions 38 to 524 of the family's 1533-position model. The record is from RNAcentral.
CGGCGGCAGGCUUACACAUGCAAGUCGAACGGUAGCAGGAGAAAGCUUGCUUUCUUGCUGACGAGUGGCGGACGGGUGAGUAAUGCUUGGGAAUCUGGCUUAUGGAGGGGGAUAACUACUGGAAACGGUAGCUAAUACCGCGUAAUAUCGGAAGAUUAAAGGGUGGGACCUUUGGGCCACCUGCCAUAAGAUGAGCCCAAGUGGGAUUAGGUAGUUGGUGGGGUAAAGGCCUACCAAGCCGACGAUCUCUAGCUGGUCUGAGAGGAUGGCCAGCCACACUGGAACUGAGACACGGUCCAGACUCCUACGGGAGGCAGCAGUGGGGAAUAUUGCACAAUGGGGGGAACCCUGAUGCAGCCAUGCCGCGUGAAUGAAGAAGGCCUUCGGGUUGUAAAGUUCUUUCGGUGAUGAGGAAGGUGUUUUGUUUAAUAGACAAAGCAAUUGACGUUAGUCACAGAAGAAGCACCGGCUAACUCCGUGCCAGCAGCCGCGGUAAU